RNAcentral lists this ribosomal RNA (497 nucleotides) under uncultured bacterium. Its description in RNAcentral is "partial 16S ribosomal RNA". It matches the Rfam family "Bacterial small subunit ribosomal RNA", at positions 28 to 507 of the family's 1533-position model. The record is from RNAcentral.
GAUGAACGCUGGCGGCGUGCCUAAUACAUGCAAGUCGAGCGAACAGACGAGGAGCUUGCUCCUCUGACGUUAGCGGCGGACGGGUGAGUAACACGUGGAUAACCUACCUAUAAGACUGGGAUAACUUCGGGACACCGGAGCUAAUACCGGAUAAUAUAUUGAACCGCAUGGUUCAAUAGUGAAAGACGGUUUUGCUGUCACUUAUAGAUGGAUCCGCGCCGCAUUAGCUAGUUGGUAAGGUAACGGCUUACCAAGGCCACGAUGCGUAGCCGACCUGAGAGGGUGAUCGGCCACACUGGAACUGAGACAGGGUCCAGACUCCUACGGGAGGCAGCAGUAGGGAAUCUUCCGCAAGGGGCGAAAGCCUGACGGAGCAACGCCGCGUGAGUGAUGAAGGUCUUCGGAUCGUAAAACUCUGUUAUUAGGGAAGAACAAAUGUGUAAGUAACUAUGCACGUCUUGACGGUACCUAAUCAGAAAGCCACGGCUAACUACGUG